RNAcentral lists this ribosomal RNA (518 nucleotides) under uncultured Bacillus sp. Its description in RNAcentral is "bacterial SSU rRNA". It matches the Rfam family "Bacterial small subunit ribosomal RNA", at positions 24 to 524 of the family's 1533-position model. The record is from RNAcentral. Lineage: Bacteria; Bacillati; Bacillota; Bacilli; Caryophanales; Bacillaceae.
UCAGGACGAACGCUGGCGGCGUGCCUAAUACAUGCAAGUCGAGCGGACAGAUGGGAGCUUGCUCCCUGAUGUUAGCGGCGGACGGGUGAGUAACACGUGGGUAACCUGCCUGUAAGACUGGGAUAACUCCGGGAAACCGGGGCUAAUACCGGAUGGUUGUUUGAACCGCAUGGUUCAAACAUAAAAGGUGGCUUCGGCUACCACUUACAGAUGGACCCGCGGCGCAUUAGCUAGUUGGUCAGGUAACGGCUCACCAAGGCUACGAUGCGUAGCCGAUCUGAGAGGGUGAUCGGCCACACUGGGACUGAGACACGGCCCAGACUCCUACGGGAGGCAGCAGUAGGGAAUCUUCCGCAAUGGACGAAAGUCUGACGGAGCAACGCCACGUGAGUGAUGAAGGGUUUCGGACCGUAAAGCUCUGUUGUUAGGGAAGAACAAGGACCGUUCUAAUAAGGCGGUACCUUGACGGUACCUAACCAGAAAGCCAAGGCUAACUACGUGCCAGCAGCCGCGGUAAU